ACCAACCGCGGUAAUACGUAGGGCGCAAGCGUUAUCCGGAAUUAUUGGGCGUAAAGAGCUCGUAGGCGGUUUGUCGCGUCUGCCGUGAAAGUCCGGGGCUCAACUCCGGAUCUGCGGUGGGUACGGGCAGACUAGAGUGAUGUAGGGGAGACUGGAAUUCCUGGUGUAGCGGUGAAAUGCGCAGAUAUCAGGAGGAACACCGAUGGCGAAGGCAGGUCUCUGGGCAUUAACUGACGCUGAGGAGCGAAAGCAUGGGGAGCGAACAGGAUUAGAUACCCUGGUAGUCCAUNCCGUAAACGUUGGGCACUAGGUGUGGGGGACAUUCCACGUUUUCCGCGCCGUAGCUAACGCAUUAAGUGCCCCGCCUGGGGAGUACGGCCGCAAGGCUAAAACUCAAAGGAAUUGACGGGGGCCCGCACAAGCGGCGGAGCAUGCGGAUUAAUUCGAUGCAACGCGAAGAACCUUACCAAGGCUUGACAUGAACCGGAAAGAUCUGGAAACAGGUCCCCCACUUGUGGUCGGUUUACAGGUGGUGCAUGGUUGUCGUCAGCUCGUGUCGUGAGAUGUUGGGNUAAGUCCCGCAACGAGCGCAACCCUCGUUCUAUGUUACCAGCACGUGAUGGUGGGGACUCAUAGGAGACUNCCGGGGUCAACUCGGAGGAAGGUGGGGACGACGUCAAAUCAUCAUGCCCCUUAUGUCUUGGGCUUCACGCAUGCUACAAUGGCCGGUACAAAGGGUUGCGAUACUGUGAGGUGGAGCUAAUCCCNCAAAGCCGGUCUCAGUUCGGAUUGGGGUCUGCAACUCGACCCCAUGAAGUCGGAGUCGCUAGUAAUCGCAGAUCAGCAACGCUGCGGUGAAUACGUUCCCGG
This 870-nucleotide ribosomal RNA is filed under the name Arthrobacter sp. 'SMCC B0518'. RNAcentral's name for it is "bacterial SSU rRNA". It matches the Rfam family "Bacterial small subunit ribosomal RNA", at positions 510 to 1377 of the family's 1533-position model. Lineage: Bacteria; Bacillati; Actinomycetota; Actinomycetes; Micrococcales; Micrococcaceae. The record is from RNAcentral.